UACAGAGGUCCCGAGCGUUGUUCGGAUUCACUGGGCGUAAAGGGCGCGUAGGCGGCUUGGCAAGUGGAUGGUGAAAUCCCUCGGCUUAACCGAGGAACUGCCGUCCAAACUGCUUCGCUUGAGACCGGGAGAGGUGAGUGGAAUUCCCAGUGUAGCGGUGAAAUGCGUAGAUAUUGGGAGGAACACCAGUGGCGAAGGCGGCUCACUGGACCGGUACUGACGCUGAUGCGCGAAAGCGUGGGGAGCAAACGGG
RNAcentral lists this ribosomal RNA (253 nucleotides) under uncultured bacterium. RNAcentral describes it as "partial 16S ribosomal RNA". It matches the Rfam family "Bacterial small subunit ribosomal RNA", at positions 524 to 776 of the family's 1533-position model. The record is from RNAcentral.